AACGAACGCUGGCGGCAUGCCUAACACAUGCAAGUCGAACGAGACCUUCGGGUCUAGUGGCGCACGGGUGCGUAACGCGUGGGAAUCUGCCCUUGGGUUCGGAAUAACAGUUAGAAAUGACUGCUAAUACCGGAUAAUGACGUAAGUCCAAAGAUUUAUCGCCCAGGGAUGAGCCCGCGUAGGAUUAGCUAGUUGGUGGGGUAAAGGCCUACCAAGGCGACGAUCCUUAGCUGGUCUGAGAGGAUGAUCAGCCACACUGGGACUGAGACACGGCCCAGACUCCUACGGGAGGCAGCAGUGGGGAAUAUUGGACAAUGGGCGAAAGCCUGAUCCAGCAAUGCCGCGUGAGUGAAGAAGGCCUUCGGGUUGUAAAGCUCUUUUACCCGGGAAGAUAAUGACUGUACCGGGAGAAUAAGCCCCGGCUAACUCCGUGCCAGCAGCCGCA
RNAcentral lists this ribosomal RNA (445 nucleotides) under uncultured bacterium. RNAcentral describes it as "bacterial SSU rRNA". It matches the Rfam family "Bacterial small subunit ribosomal RNA", at positions 29 to 519 of the family's 1533-position model. The record is from RNAcentral.